This 345-nucleotide unclassified non-coding RNA is filed under the name soil metagenome. RNAcentral describes it as "partial contains 5.8S ribosomal RNA, internal transcribed spacer 2, and large subunit ribosomal RNA". The stretch from base 1 to 120 matches the Rfam family "5.8S ribosomal RNA", at positions 35 to 154 of the family's 154-position model. The record is from RNAcentral.
GAUGAAGAACGUAGCGAAAUGCGAUACGUAAUGUGAAUUUCAGAAUUCAGUGAAUCAUCGAGUCUUUGAACGCACAUUGCGCCCCCUGGUAUUCCGGGGGGCAUGCCUGUCCGAGCGUCAUUGCAGCCCUCAAGCACGGCUUGUGUGUUGGGCCUCCGUCCUCCUCCCGGGGGACGGGCCCGAAAGGCAGCGGCGGCACCGCGUCCGGUCCUCGAGCGUAUGGGGCUUCGUCACCCGCUCUUGUAGGCCCGGCCGGCGCUUGCCGACACAUCAAUCUUUUUUCCAGGUUGACCUCGGAUCAGGUAGGGAUACCCGCUGAACUUAAGCAUAUCAAUAAGCGGAGGA